GCUGCAGAGGCUGAGGAAGCUGAAGGCUGUGCAGGAUGCUCUGGAGCAGGCGUACCUGGGAGCCCGGCAGCAGCACCCGGACGCCUCGGGGGGCUUUGAUCCUGACCGCUCACUGGAAGGGGACAUUUUCCACCUGGGGCUGUGCCUGGAGGAGCUCAAGGAGCGGCUGGAGCCUGGGGCCAGGCGGCAGCUCCCCCCUCAACACCCACCCCAGGCCCACUCCCCUCCAGCCCAUUCCCCAUCACCUACCCCCAGCUCCCUGCACCCCGAGAGCCCCACGCAGACAGGAGGUCCCCAGAGGGCAGUGGGGGACAGUGAGGCUGUGACAGAGUGGUUGCCCAGACCCCUCUGGAACAAGCAGCAGCGUGUGGAGGAGGAUUUUGGUGACCUGCUGCAGCAGUACAAGCACUUCAAGUCCCUGCCGGAGUCACUGAGCCUGGAGCAGCUGAGCCUGACAGCAAGCGGGUCCCAGGAGGAGGUGGACGGGCCUGCAGCAGGGGAUGGUGGCCCCAGCACAGUCCCCAGGAGGACAUGGUCUCUGGAGGAAGUGCCUGACCUUGAGAGCUCC
This is a long non-coding RNA of Dryobates pubescens (Downy woodpecker), 568 nucleotides long. RefSeq lists it as uncharacterized. The transcript has 4 exons. The record is from RefSeq and is a predicted model, not a curated record. Lineage: Eukaryota; Metazoa; Chordata; Aves; Piciformes; Picidae.